RNAcentral lists this ribosomal RNA (429 nucleotides) under Bacteroidota bacterium. RNAcentral describes it as "Bacteroidetes bacterium partial 16S ribosomal RNA". It matches the Rfam family "Bacterial small subunit ribosomal RNA", at positions 355 to 776 of the family's 1533-position model. Lineage: Bacteria; Pseudomonadati; Bacteroidota. The record is from RNAcentral.
UAGGGAAUCUUCCGCAAUGGACGCAAGUCUGACGGAGCAACGCCGCGUGAGUGAAGAAGGAUUUCGGUUCGUAAAACUCUGUUGUUAGAGAAGAACAGCGCAUAGAGUAACUGUUAUGCGUGUGACGGUAUCUAACCAGAAAGCCACGGCUAACUACGUGCCAGCAGCCGCGGUAAUACGUAGGUGGCAAGCGUUGUCCGGAUUUAUUGGGCGUAAAGCGAGCGCAGGCGGUCAAUUAAGUCUGAUGUGAAAGCCCCCGGCUCAACCGGGGAGGGUCAAUGGAAACUGGUUGGCUUGAGUGCAGAAGAGGAUAGUGGAAUUCCAUGUGUAGCGGUGAAAUGCGUAGAUAUAUGGAGGAACACCAGUGGCGAAGGCGACUCUCUGGUCUGUAACUGACGCUGAGGCUCGAAAGCGUGGGUAGCAAACAGG